AACGAACGCUGGCGGCAUGCCUAACACAUGCAAGUCGAACGAGAUCUUCGGGUCUAGUGGCGCACGGGUGCGUAACGCGUGGGAAUCUGCCCUUUGGUUCGGAAUAACAGUUGGAAACGACUGCUAAUACCGGAUGAUGACGAAAGUCCAAAGAUUUAUCGCCAGAGGAUGAGCCCGCGUAGGAUUAUCUAGUUGGCGUGGUAAAGGCGCACCAAGGCGACGAUCCUUAGCUGGUCUGAGAGGAUGAUCAGCCACACUGGGACUGAGACACGGCCCAGACUCCUACGGGAGGCAGCAGUGGGGAAUAUUGGACAAUGGGCGAAAGCCUGAUCCAGCAAUGCCGCGUGAGUGAUGAAGGCCUUAGGGUUGUAAAGCUCUUUUACCCGGGAUGAUAAUGACAGUACCGGGAGAAUAAGCUCCGGCUAACUCCGUGCCAGCCGCCGCAGUAA
RNAcentral lists this ribosomal RNA (449 nucleotides) under uncultured bacterium. RNAcentral's name for it is "partial 16S ribosomal RNA". It matches the Rfam family "Bacterial small subunit ribosomal RNA", at positions 29 to 523 of the family's 1533-position model. The record is from RNAcentral.